This 170-nucleotide ribosomal RNA is filed under the name uncultured rumen bacterium. RNAcentral describes it as "partial 16S ribosomal RNA". It matches the Rfam family "Bacterial small subunit ribosomal RNA", at positions 340 to 524 of the family's 1533-position model. The record is from RNAcentral.
UACGGGAGGCAGCAGUGGGGAAUAUUGGGCAAUGGGCGCAAGCCUGACCCAGCAACGCCGCGUGAAGGAAGAAGGCUUUCGGGUUGUAAACUUCUUUUGGCAGGGACGAAGAACGUGACGGUACCUGAUGAAUAANCCACGGNUAACUACGUGCCAGCAGCCGCGGUAAU